UACGGGGGGAGCAAGCGUUGUUCGGAAUUAUUGGGCGUAAAGGGCGCGUAGGCGGCCUGGCAAGUGGAAGGUGAAAUCCCUCGGCUUAACCGAGGAACUGCCUCCCAAACUGCUUGGCUUGAGACCGGGAGAGGUGAGUGGAAUUCCCAGUGUAGCGGUGAAAUGCGUAGAUAUUGGGAGGAACACCAGUGGCGAAGGCGGCUCACUGGACCGGUACUGACGCUGAUGCGCGAAAGCGUGGGGAGCAAACGGG
RNAcentral lists this ribosomal RNA (253 nucleotides) under uncultured bacterium. Its description in RNAcentral is "partial 16S ribosomal RNA". It matches the Rfam family "Bacterial small subunit ribosomal RNA", at positions 524 to 776 of the family's 1533-position model. The record is from RNAcentral.